RNAcentral lists this ribosomal RNA (460 nucleotides) under uncultured bacterium. RNAcentral describes it as "partial 16S ribosomal RNA". It matches the Rfam family "Bacterial small subunit ribosomal RNA", at positions 338 to 795 of the family's 1533-position model. The record is from RNAcentral.
CAGACGGGAGGCAGCAGGGAGGAAUAUGGGGCAAUGGACGGAAGGCUGAACCAGAAAGGAAGAGGGAAGGUCAGUGAACGAGGGGCGGUAAACUUCUUUUGUGCGGGAGCAAUAAUGGUCACGUGUGGCCAGACGAGAGUACCGUACGAAUAAGCAUCGGCUAACUCCGUGCCAGCAGCCGCGGUAAUACGGGGGAUGCAAGCGUUAUCCGGAUUUAUUGGGUUUAAAGGGUGCGUAGGCUGUGAGGUAAGUCAGCGGUGAAAUGCCCCCGCUCAACGGGGUGGAGUGCCAUUGAUACUGCCUUGCUGGAAUGCGGAUGCCGUGGGAGGAAUGUGUGGUGUAGCGGUGAAAUGCAUAGAUAUCACACAGAACACCGAUUGCGAAGGCAUCUCACGAAUCCGCGAUUGACGCUGAUGCACGAAAGCGUGGGUAUCAAACAGGAUUAGAUACCCUAGUAGUC